AUGUUUUUUUAAAAAUAGCAUAAAAAGAUAAGUGAUUUUUAAUAAAAUUUAUUUUAAAAUAACAGUACUCUCAACGAAGCCAAUAACGCCUGUCUCGAACAUGACGUCACAGCAAAGGGGUGGAAUGAGGAGGAUGCGCAAUAGCACACCUUGUGUAUUUCCACCAUGGGUUCACAUACUACAGCCAGUGCGCCAGUCGCGCGCCGCUACCAUGCCCCGCCAAACACGCGCCAAUGAUAACCUUGGUGUGGUUCACAUAUCGGCCCGCCUAUUUGGAGGAAGCCAAUCAUGGACGGCCAUGCGUACGCACCGAUUAACCAAUGACAA
This 327-nucleotide long non-coding RNA is filed under the name Androctonus crassicauda. Lineage: Eukaryota; Metazoa; Arthropoda; Arachnida; Scorpiones; Buthidae. The record is from RNAcentral.